CUGAUUUUUUUACAGAAUGAGAGGAAAGUCCGGGCAACGUAGAGCACCAUCCUUCCUAAUGGGAAGCUGUUCGCGAGGGCAGAGUAGUGUUACAGAAAAGAACCGCCUUGCCACAGCAGGGUAAGGGUGAAAAGGCGAGGUAAGAGCUAACCGCUCCCAUAGUAAUAUGUGAGGCAGUACGCCUGAUGUAUUGCAAGCUCAUGUAUACCGAUGCAGUAGGAUAGUUGGUCUCGAUAUCGGGGUGAUAAAUCGUUAUAGAUAUAUUGGUGAUAAUGAACCUAGAUAA
Molecule: RNase P RNA, 286 nt
Filed under: Tannerella sp.
Lineage: Bacteria; Pseudomonadati; Bacteroidota; Bacteroidia; Bacteroidales; Tannerellaceae
Description: RNase P RNA component class A
Rfam family: Bacterial RNase P class A
About the family: Ribonuclease P (RNase P) is a ubiquitous endoribonuclease, found in archaea, bacteria and eukarya as well as chloroplasts and mitochondria. Its best characterised activity is the generation of mature 5'-ends of tRNAs by cleaving the 5'-leader elements of precursor-tRNAs.
Source: RNAcentral